AUGCUGGGGCCGCUGCUUGGGCUGGUAGUGAUGCCAGUAGCUGGGAACCUGGGGCCGGUAGCUGGGAACCUGGGGCUUGGGCCGGUAGCUGGGAACCUGGGGCCGAGGCCGAGGCUGAGGCUUGGGCUGGUAGCUGGGAACCUGGGGCCGAGGCUGAGGCUUGGGCCGGUAGCUGGGAGGCUGAGGCCGGGGCCGAGGCUUGGGCCGGUAGCUGGGAGGCUGAGGCCGGGGCUGAGGCCGAGGCCUGGGCGGGUAGCUGGGAACCUGGGGCUGAGGCAUGGGCUGGUAGCUGGGAACCUGGGGCCGAGGCCGAGGCUUGGGCUGGUAGCUGGGAACCUGGGGCCGAGGCUGAGGCUGAGGCUUGGGCUGGUAGACGGGAACCUGGGGCCGAGGCUGAGGCUGAGGCAUGGGCUGGUAGACGGGAACCUGGGGCCGAGGCUGAGGCUGAGGCAUGGGCUGGUAGACGGGAACCUGGGGCUGAGGCUUGGGCAUGGGCUGGUAGACGGGAACCUGGGGCUGAGGCUUGGGCAUGGACUGGUAGACGGUAACCUGGGGCUGAGGCAUGGGCUGGUAGCUGGGAACCUGGGGCUGAGGCAUGGGCUGGUAGCUGGGAACCUGGGGCCGAGGCUGAGGCAUGGGCUGGUAGCUGGGAACCUGGGGCCGAGGCUGAGGCUGAGGCUUGGGCUGGUAGCUGGGAACCUGGGGCCGAGGCUGAGGCUGAGGCUUGGGCUGGUAGCUGGGAACCUGGGGCCGAGGCUGAGGCUGAGGCUUGGGCUGGUAGCUGGGAACCUGGGGCCGGGGCUGAGGCUUUGGCAUGGGCUGGUAGACGGGAACCUGGGGCUGAGGCUUGGGCAUGGGCUGGUAGACGGGAACCUGGGGCUGAGGCUUGGGCAUGGGCUGGUAGACGGGAACCUGGGGCUGAGGCAUGGGCUGGUAGACGGGAACCUGGGGCUGAGGCUUGGGCUGGUAGACGGGAACCUGGGGCUGAGGCUUGGGCUGGUAGCUGGGAACCUGGGGCUGAGGCUUGGGCUGGUAGCUGGGAACCUGGGGCUGAGGCUUGGGCUGGUAGCUGGGAACCUGGGGCUGAGGCUGAGGCUGAGGCAUGGACUGGUAGACGGGAACCUGGGGCUGAGGCUUGGGCUGGUAGCUGGGAACCUGGGGCUGAGGCUGAGGCAUGGGCUGGUAGCUGGGAACCUGGGGCUGAGGCUGAGGCAUGGGCUGGUAGCUGGGAACCUGGGGCUGAGGCUUGGGCUGGUAGCUGGGAACCUGGGGCUGAGGCUGAGGCAUGGGCUGGUAGCUGGGAACCUGGGGCUGAGGCUGAGGCAUGGGCUGGUAGCUGGGAACCUGGGGCUGAGGCUGAGGCAUGGGCUGGUAGCUGGGAACCUGGGGCUGAGGCUUGGGCUGGUAGCUGGGAACCUGGGGCUGAGGCUUGGGCUGGUAGCUGGGAACCUGGGGCUGAGGCUUGGGCUGGUAGCUGGGAACCUGGGGCUGAGGCUUGGGCUGGUAGCUGGGAACCUGGGGCUGAGGCUUGGGCUGGUAGCUGGGAACCUGGGGCUGAGGCUUGGGCUGGUAGCUGGGAACCUGGGGCUGAGGCUUGGGCUGGUAGAUGGGAACCUGGGGCUGAGGCUGAGGCAUGGGCUGGUAGAUGGGAACCUGGGGCUGAGGCAUGGGAACCUGGGGCUCAUAGCUCAUGUCCAAAAUGCCUGGCUCAAAUCCCCAAUAGGAAGCUAA
Dicentrarchus labrax (European seabass) is the source of this 1731-nucleotide long non-coding RNA. The record is from Ensembl. NCBI's taxonomy places the organism in Eukaryota, Metazoa, Chordata, Actinopteri, Moronidae.